This 260-nucleotide ribosomal RNA is filed under the name uncultured bacterium. Its description in RNAcentral is "partial 16S ribosomal RNA". It matches the Rfam family "Bacterial small subunit ribosomal RNA", at positions 511 to 771 of the family's 1533-position model. The record is from RNAcentral.
GCAGCCGCGGUAAUACGUAGGUGGCGAGCGUUGUCCGGAAUUAUUGGGCGUAAAGGGAGCGCAGGCGGGAAGGUAAGUCUAUCUUAAAAGUGCGGGGCUCAACCCCGUGAGGGGAUGGAAACUAUCUUUCUUGAGUGCAGGAGAGGAAAGCGGAAUUCCUAGUGUAGCGGUGAAAUGCGUAGAUAUUAGGAGGAACACCAGUGGCGAAGGCGGCUUUCUGGACUGUAACUGACGCUGAGGCUCGAAAGCGUGGGGAGCGA